Long non-coding RNA from Oncorhynchus tshawytscha (Chinook salmon), 3284 nucleotides. NCBI's taxonomy places the organism in Eukaryota, Metazoa, Chordata, Actinopteri, Salmoniformes, Salmonidae. The record is from Ensembl.
CUUGACCAGUCACCUGACCAACCACCUGACCAACCACCUGACCAACCACUGGACCAAUCACCUGACCAACCACCUGACCAAUCACCUGACCAACCACCUGACCAACCACUUGACCAGUCACCUGACCAACCACCUGUAAGAGAAAGCAGGGAUAGACAACUCCAGAGCUCGAUGAGUCUGUCUCAUUGAUGAUUCUCCCUGUCGUGUAAUGGAUACAUUUUACGUCAAUGACUGGUGAGAUUUUAGAAAGUCCACACCGGAACACCAAAUAGCUCAAGUUUAAAGACUAAAGCCACGUUUUUCUGAAGACAUGGAUUUUUACCCCAAUGUCCUGGUUUUGAUGUUCUCUCUUUUUUUCUUGUUCUAUCUUUCCAAUAAAUAUUUUCACUUGAUUUGUACUGGUACUGCUAACGGAGCAGGUAAAACCUUUUGAAGUGACUUCUACUGGUACUGCUAGCAGAGUAGAUAAAACCUUUUCAACUGAUUUCUACUGGUACUGCUAGCAGAGUAGAUAAAACCUUUUCAACUGAUUUCUACUGGUACUGCUAGCAGAGCAGAUGAAACCUUUUCAACUGAUUUCUACUGGUACUGCUAGCAGAGCAGAUAAAACCCUUUCAACUGAUUUCUAAUUAGUACAACCAAUUUAAUCUAGUUGAUUUUGAUGUAUAGAUGUAUUGAACAUACAGUACAUGCAUUAGAUUCCUGCAAUGCCACAUGUACAUUGUGAUUGACAUGGAGAAUUGAGUCACACAAACACUGGAUGAAUCUUAGAUUGACAUUGAAGCUAAAUAAGAGUACUUCUCAAGGUGUUUUUUCCCAUGAACAAAACAUCUUCUAACAUGCUUAAACUGUCAUCAUCAAGUCUUAAAUAACGAAUGAGUUUCUGUAUCAAACCUUUUCACUUGUCUCCAUAGCGAUGUUAUUUUCUCUUGUUGUUUUUCAUCAAAAGGAACCAGCAAUAUUUCAGUUUGAGAAAUCUAUAAAGCCUUGAGCUGUAGCUGUCCCUAUGUGGGCUUAAUUUUUUAUUCCAUAUUAUUUUGAGUUUAUUUUCUAGGGUAGAACAUGUCUCUUCAGAUGUAACGAAUAGCAUUCCUUUCCAACGCCAACCCUUUGUAGUACAGACAGUGACUGGAACAUUCAAUGAAAUGAAUGACAUGAUAAGUGCAAUUGUACAGUUUGCAAAUAUAUAGUAUAAAAUAACUUUGGAUUAACUGAGUUUAUAUGAUCCUCAUGUUCUGUUUAUAUUCUAUCAUGAUACUCUUCUAAAACAGUGUUACUCAACCUCAGAUUCCUGGACCGGGCCCGGUCCGUGGGAUACUGCUUUAUGGUACCCUGAGAUGUUCGAGUGCUAGUUUUGAUGGAAGCGGCACCCCAGGAGGAUAAAAACAUAGUUUGCCAGUCCUAGCCUGGUCUCAGAUAUCUUUCUGCUUCAACCAACACCAUCUCACAAAACAAUGAGUGACAAGGACUUGUUGGCAUUUUAGCAAAAACAGACUGGAACACAGUCCCUGUUAAAAAACAGAUUGAGAAACACUCAUCUAAAAAAGGGCCAUCGGUAGUAGAUGGUCAGUCCAAAAUGUCAGCUUAUGUCCUAUAUAGUGCACUGCUUUUUACCAGAGCACUAUGGGCCCUGGUUAAAAGUAGUGCACUAUAAAGGGAAUAGGGUGCCAUUGGGCCCUGGUUAAAAGUAGUGCACUAUAAAGGGAAUAGGGUGCCAUAGGGCCCUGGUUAAAAGUAGUGCACUAUAUAGGGAAUAGGGUGCCAUUUAGGACACAACCCCGAAGAGAGUCUGAAGUGACUAAUUGAGGGAGAAAGGGUUCUGUGUGAUUAGUUCUGCUACAAAAAAACCUCAAUGGAUCAAUCCUAUUGACUCUACAGAGACGCUGCAGAUCAAUGCCCAGACUGCUCCAUUUACGACACACUGAGUGGUAUAAUUAAGCAGUAAGGCAUGAGGUUUGGCGAUGUGCGGCCAAUAUACCACGGCUAAAGGCUGUUCUUAUUCACGACGCAACGCGGCGUGCCUGGAUACAGCCCUUAGCUGUUGUAUAUUGACCAUAUAUCACAAACCCCUGAGGUGCCUUAUUGCUAUUAUAAACUGGUUACCAAUGUAAUUAGAACAGUUAAAAUAAAUGUUUUGUCAUACCUGUGGUAUACAGUCUGAUAUACCAUGGCUUUUAGCCUAUCAGCAUUUAGGGCUCGAACCACCCGGUUUAUAAUUAAUAAUGAACCUCUGAUAAAUUAGAAAUUAAUAUAGGCCUAAUGAAAGUCUUUUGCUUAGUAGAUAAUGUCAGAUUUAAUUUAUAACCCUUAUAUAAAGGUAUUUUAUUCAAAUGUUCAAACCACAAGGUUUACAAAGAUCUAAAUGAUGUAGUUUGUAGUUUUUUUUUUUUUUUCAAUUGUUAUUUUUUUCCCUGAUGAUGGUCACGGACAGGUUUACACUGAGUGUACAAAACAUUAGGAACAACUUCCUAAUAUUGAGUUGCACCCCUUUUCUCCUCAGAACAGCCUCAAAUCAUCGGUGUCAGGGACUCUACAAGGUGUUGAAAGCGUUCCACAGGGAUGCUGGCCCCAUGGUGACUCCAAUGGUUCCCACAGUUGUGUCAAUUUGGCUGGAUGUUCUUUGGGUGGUGGACCAUUCUUGAUACACACAGGACACUGUUGAGCCUGAAAAACUCAGCAGCGUUGCUGUUCUUGACACACUCAAACCGGUGUGCCUGGCACCUACUACCAUACCCAGUACAAAGGCACUUAAAUAUUUUGUCUUGCCCACUCACCCUCUGAAUGGCACACAUACACAAUCCAUGUCUCAAUUGUCUCAAGGCUUAAAAAUCCUUCUUUAACCCUGUCUCCUCCCCUUCAUUUUUAACCCUGUCUCCUCCCCUUCAUAUUUAACCCUGUCUCCUCCCCUUCAUUUUUAACCCUGUCUCCUCCCCUUCAUCUUUAACCUGACUCCUCCCCUUCAUAUUUAACCUGUCUCCUCCCCUUCAUCUUUAACCUGUCUCCUCCCCUUCAUCUUUAACCUGUCUCCUCCCCUUCAUCUUUAACCCUGUCUCCUCCCCUUCAUCUUUAACCUGUCUCCUCCCCUUCAUAUUUAACCAGGUCUCCUCCCCUUCAUCUUUAACCAGGUCUCCUCCCCUUCAUCUUUAACCUGUCUCCUCCCCUUCAUCUUUAACCUGUCUCCUCCCCUUCAUUUUUAACCUGUCUCCUCCCCUUCAUCUUUAACCUGUCUCCUCCCCUUCAUAUUUAACCUGUCUCCUCCCCUUCAUUUUUAACCUGUCUCCUCC